This 486-nucleotide ribosomal RNA is filed under the name uncultured bacterium. Its description in RNAcentral is "bacterial SSU rRNA". It matches the Rfam family "Bacterial small subunit ribosomal RNA", at positions 17 to 518 of the family's 1533-position model. The record is from RNAcentral.
AUCUGGCUCAGAUUAACGCUGGCGGCGUGCCUAAUACAUGCAAGUCGAAUGGUAGUAGCAAUACAAACCAUGGCGAACGGGUGAGUAACACGUAGGUAACCUGUCUUUAAGACGAGGAUAACCAUUGGAAACGAUGGAUAAUACUGGAUAGGACAUCACAAAGGGCAUCCUUAGAUGUUUAAAGAUUAUUAUGUCACUUAGAGAGGGGCCUGCGGCGCAUUAGCUAGUUGGUGAGGUAAGAGCCCACCAAGGCGAUGAUGCGUAGCCGGACUGAGAGGUUGAACGGCCACAAUGGAACUGAGAACGGUCCAUACUCCUACGGGAGGCAGCAGUAGGGAAUUUUCGGCAAUGGGCGCAAGCCCUGACCGAGCAACGCCGCGUGAACGAAGAAGUUAUUCGUAAUGUAAAGUUCUUUUAUCUGGGAAGAAAAAACAAAUUGACGGUACCAGAUGAAUAGGCUCCGGCUAACUACGUGCCAGCCGCCGC